UAGCCUUCAGAUUUGUCUGCUAACAGUAAAAAUACUAUAAUAAAUCGGUAACAUAUGUUGCCAGGCAAGGAAAAGUGAUAUAAAUAAAGAGACUGGGAGACCCAAACCAAGUACAAUAUUGCAUUCUUACCCAAAUACUCUUCGUGAUUGCCUGCUUUGCGGUUUUGGGAUUCUUCAGGGAGUAGAGAACAUUCACAUGGGUUGACAUCCCAGUUUUCUCAGCAUAUUUCUGAACCAACUGAGGGAUACAUAAAGAAGUCAGACAAAGCUGGGCACGGUGGCUCACGCCUGUAAUCCCAGCACUUUGGGAGGCCGAGGAAAUAAAAUUAGGAGAAAUCUGCUAAAUUCAUCCAAAAGAAUACAAGAGUUUGGGAAUAUAAAAAAGGUACUACUUAUUUAAAUGCUAAUGAAAACCAGCUUUAUCAUUUCUAAAGAGGAUUUUGGUGUUAUUUUUCUUCUCCCAGUGAAAAAUUUUACUGCUCCUGCCUGACAAAGGGACAUGGGCUUGAGCCUGAUAUUUGAGACUAUAUAAAUAGCUGAUCUGGAAAUUU
This 551-nucleotide long non-coding RNA is filed under the name Pongo abelii (Sumatran orangutan). RNAcentral's name for it is "lincRNA". Lineage: Eukaryota; Metazoa; Chordata; Mammalia; Primates; Hominidae. The record is from RNAcentral.